CCCUUAGACGUUCUGGGCCGCACGCGCGCUACACUGACCAGUGCAACAAGCAUCCGUCCUUGGCCGACAGGCCCGGGCAAUCUUUGAACGCUGGUCGUGAUGGGGAUAGACUUUUGCAAUUUUUGGUCUUCAACGAGGAAUUCCUAGUAAACGCAAGUCAUCAACUUGCAUUGAUUGCGUCCCUGCCCUUUGUACACACCGCCCGUCGCACCUACCGAUUGAAUGGUCCGGUGAAGCCUCCGGAUUGGCGCGCACCCCGGUGCCGCCGAGAAGUUGGCUAAACCUUACCAUUUAGAGGAAGGUGAAGUCGUAACA
This 315-nucleotide ribosomal RNA is filed under the name uncultured eukaryote. Its description in RNAcentral is "partial 18S ribosomal RNA". It matches the Rfam family "Eukaryotic small subunit ribosomal RNA", at positions 1470 to 1796 of the family's 1831-position model. The record is from RNAcentral.